CAACGGUGUGUGUAAACCAACAGAAGGUGCCUACGGACCCACGUACGAGUGUCUGUGCACUUACGGAUAUGACGGAUACAAGUGCGAGGAUGAUAUUGACCCUUGUGAGCACAACCCGUGCGACAACGGAGGUGUGUGCCAAAUCAACCGCCAGUACCGGCACAGUGGAUAUGAGCCGGAAACCACCUGUGUCUGCCCCUGCACCCAUCUAGGAGACAGUUGCGAGAUAGAGAUCAAGCCGUGCGAACCGAAUCCAUGCAAAAACGGCGGCGUGUGCAGGAAAGCUGGAGGACACUGCAAUCACACGACGUUUGCGUGUGACUGUCCCUACGGUCUGAAGGGCGACGUGUGCGAACUCGGUUAUGGACACCCAAAGCACUAAAACCACGAUGUUUGAAGCGGACGAUGAAAGAGCAAAUUCAAGAUUAAAGGCAUGACCACAAACGGAGAAGCAGUCCGUUAAUGAUUUUCUGCAACGCGGUGUCGGUAAAUACCCCACGAUGUUUGAAGCACGGAAUGAAAGGCCAAAGCUAAGAUUAAAAGGAUGACUGUGAAUAUACAAAAUCGUAUGCGCUUGCAUAAAACAUUUGUUGUCAAGCCACAGAAUUCUAUAUGCAUUGAAACUCCAACGCCAUUUAUAUGAAAUCAGAGAAGAUUUUCUCUUGCUUUGUGCAGAAAAUGUUGAAUGAGACUAAAAAAUAUACGGUGUGCAAUAGCAACCGCGUACACAAUAUUAGAUGCUAAAAUAUACAUAAAAUCAGGAGUGGAUAAUAGAGUCUCUAUUAUCCACUCCUGAUAAAAUAUUACUCUUAUGUAUCUUACUCUUGACAAUGUGCUCAGUAAGGCUAUGCCCGUUUUUGACACAUAAUAUCGGUUUAUAUAUUAUAUAUGUAUCAUUUAUCUUAUAUAGUUGUUUCCCGUAAAUUUAGUUACUGUAAUUAGUUUGUCAUAGUUCGUGGCGCUAGACUACACGCCGUUGAACCGUUACUGUAUGCGCUACAUUUAAAAGAUUAUUUAAAAAAGUUCAAUUUCCUAAUAAUAAUUAUAUAUAGGCCUACUAUGCCAUAAUAAUUUUUAAAUAUUUGUAACAUUAUAUUUAGUGGGCAGUUAGAAAUAAAUAAAUAUAAUCCGUUUAGCAA
This is a long non-coding RNA of Priapulus caudatus, 1139 nucleotides long. RefSeq lists it as uncharacterized. The record is from RefSeq and is a predicted model, not a curated record. The transcript has 4 exons. Lineage: Eukaryota; Metazoa; Priapulida; Priapulimorpha; Priapulimorphida; Priapulidae.